RNAcentral lists this long non-coding RNA (513 nucleotides) under Paramuricea clavata. The record is from RNAcentral. Lineage: Eukaryota; Metazoa; Cnidaria; Anthozoa; Malacalcyonacea; Plexauridae.
CGCCAACUUAUUAUCACUUCCAGCUAGACGUUCGUGGUGUGAACAUGUCCUUUCCGUGCAAUAUAUGUGCCAAAGUAUUUUCAACACGCGGCAACCUCAAGCGUCAUACUUUGAAUACCCAUGUACCCAUGGAGAUGUUCAAAGCAAACCAGUUGAAAUCUCAGCAGGAUCUACAGUUUUGCAGCAUCCUUUCACAUGUAUCGUAGCUGGGUGUACCCAAAGCGGCAAGACUGUGUGGGUAAAAUCUCUCUUGGAGAAUGCACAGAAAACUAUAAGUCCUGCUCCUCAACGCAUUAUCUGGUGUUAUGGUCAAUGGCAAUCCUCCUAUUUUGAUAUGAUGAGAACGAUUCCUGAAAUCGAGUUUAAUAAAGGCAUUCCAAAAGACAUUGACAACACAGACUACUUGGAUGUAUCGCAACGGAAUUUGAUCGUACUGGACGAUCUCAUGGCACAAUCUAGUAAAGACAAAUGUAUUGCUGAUCUUUUUACCAAAGGAAGCCAUCACCGUAAUUU